GGGAAUAUGGCUUAGUGGUAGAGCACUUGCCUAGCAAGUAUGAGGCCCUGAGUUCGAUUUCUACCACAAUAUAUUCA
RNAcentral lists this transfer RNA (77 nucleotides) under Marmota monax (woodchuck). Its description in RNAcentral is "tRNA.Ala". The record is from RNAcentral. Lineage: Eukaryota; Metazoa; Chordata; Mammalia; Rodentia; Sciuridae.